Molecule: unclassified non-coding RNA, 330 nt
Filed under: soil metagenome
Description: partial contains 5.8S ribosomal RNA, internal transcribed spacer 2, and large subunit ribosomal RNA
Rfam family: 5.8S ribosomal RNA (bases 1-119)
Source: RNAcentral
GAUGAAGAACGCAGCGAAAUGCGAUAAGUAAUGUGAAUUGCAGAAUUCAGUGAAUCAUCGAAUCUUUGAACGCACAUUGCGCCCCCUGGUAUUCCGGGGGCAUGCCUGUUCGAGCGUCAUUUCACCACUCAAGCCUCGCUUGGUAUUGGGCAACGCGGUCCGCCGCGUGCCUCAAAUCGACCGGCUGGGUCUUCUGUCCCCUAAGCGUUGUGGAAACUAUUCGCUAAAGGGUGUUCGGGAGGCUACGCCGUAAAACAAACCCAUUUCUAAGGUUGACCUCGGAUCAGGUAGGGAUACCCGCUGAACUUAAGCAUAUCAAUAAGCGGAGGA